RNAcentral lists this transfer RNA (541 nucleotides) under uncultured Prochlorococcus sp. RNAcentral describes it as "partial 16S-23S ribosomal RNA intergenic spacer". The stretch from base 212 to 284 matches the Rfam family "tRNA". The record is from RNAcentral. Lineage: Bacteria; Bacillati; Cyanobacteriota; Cyanophyceae; Synechococcales; Prochlorococcaceae.
CAGGGAGACAACAAAAUGUUUAAUAUUAUUAUUUUGUCACCUUAGGUCGAUCGGUAUCUCACGUUUUUAAUUUAUUAAGAAUUUCAUUUCCUAAGUUUUUCUAGGUCACACCCAUUAUUUUUCCUGGGCCAUUAGCUCAGGUGGUUAGAGCGCACCCCUGAUAAGGGUGAGGUCCCUGGUUCAAGUCCAGGAUGGCCCAUAUCUCUAUGUUGGGGGUAUAGCUCAGUUGGUAGAGCGCCUGCUUUGCAAGCAGGAUGUCAGCGGUUCGAGUCCGCUUACCUCCACUGAUCACCACCUCUUCCAUAAUCGAUAGAAAGGAAAUUUUUUGAGUUGUGAUCAAAUUCUGAAAGAAUCUAGCUUCCUAAUGAAAUCAUUAAGAUGCUGGACUCAUUGAAUUAAUUUCAUUGUUUUCAGAGAACCUUGACAACUGCAUAGAUUAUUUUUAAAGACAAUAAGCAUCUUUAAUGAUGCAGAUUUAUUAUUUGUGCAAAUGCAUUAAUAACAAUUCUAUUAAGCUGAUGCUUCAAUAUUUGAAGUUAUU